This 253-nucleotide ribosomal RNA is filed under the name uncultured bacterium. RNAcentral's name for it is "partial 16S ribosomal RNA". It matches the Rfam family "Bacterial small subunit ribosomal RNA", at positions 524 to 776 of the family's 1533-position model. The record is from RNAcentral.
UACGAAGGGGGCUAGCGUUGCUCGGAAUUACUGGGCGUAAAGGGCGCGUAGGCGGCACUGUUAGUCAGGCGUGAAAGUCCUGGGCUCAACCUGGGAACUGCGCUUGAUACGGCAGAGCUAGAGGAUGGAAGAGGCUCGCGGAAUUCCCAGUGUAGAGGUGAAAUUCGUAGAUAUUGGGAGGAACACCAGUGGCGAAGGCGGCUCACUGGUCCAUUACUGACGCUGAGGUGCGAAAGCGUGGGGAGCAAACAGG